RNAcentral lists this ribosomal RNA (460 nucleotides) under uncultured bacterium. RNAcentral's name for it is "partial 16S ribosomal RNA". It matches the Rfam family "Bacterial small subunit ribosomal RNA", at positions 338 to 795 of the family's 1533-position model. The record is from RNAcentral.
CCUACGGGAGGCAGCAGUGAGGAAUAUUGGUCAAUGGGCGCGAGCCUGAACCAGCCAAGUAGCGUGAAGGAUGACUGCCCUAUGGGUUGUAAACUUCUUUUAUAUGGGAAUAAAGUGCGGUACGUGUACCGCUUUGCAUGUACCUUAUGAAUAAGGAUCGGCUAACUCCGUGCCAGCAGCCGCGGUAAUACGGAGGAUCCGAGCGUUAUCCGGAUUUAUUGGGUUUAAAGGGAGCGUAGGUGGGUUGUUAAGUCAGUUGUGAAAGUUUGCGGCUCAACCGUAAAAUUGCAGUUGAUACUGGCAGUCUUGAGUACAGUAGAGGUAGGCGGAAUUCGUGGUGUAGCGGUGAAAUGCUUAGAUAUCACGAAGAACUCCGAUUGCGAAGGCAGCAUACUGGACUGCAACUGACGCUGAUGCUCGAAAGUGUGGGUAUCAAACAGGAUUAGAUACCCCUGUAGUC